This 77-nucleotide transfer RNA is filed under the name Thermofilum sp. RNAcentral describes it as "tRNA-Ala". It matches the Rfam family "tRNA". Rfam says of the family: Transfer RNA (tRNA) molecules are approximately 80 nucleotides in length. Lineage: Archaea; Thermoproteati; Thermoproteota; Thermoprotei; Thermofilales; Thermofilaceae. The record is from RNAcentral.
GGGCCGGUAGCUCAGCCUGGGAGAGCGCCCGCUUCGCACGCGGGAGGACCCGGGUUCAAGUCCCGGCCGGUCCACCA